This 407-nucleotide long non-coding RNA is filed under the name Zea mays. RNAcentral describes it as "long non-coding RNA (ZMAY_LNC002862)". The record is from RNAcentral. Lineage: Eukaryota; Viridiplantae; Streptophyta; Magnoliopsida; Poales; Poaceae.
UGUAUGUACAUGAAUUUGUUGAAAUAAAUAGAAACUCUCACUUUACAAACUCACAUCAACAGAAUGCUAGUUGCCCAUUCCUGUAUUCAUAAAUAUAUUGGAGGUGUAACAACAGCCAGCCUAGGCCUAGUUUGGAUACUCUAGUAACGAGUGGGAUUGGAGUGGAUUGAGAUGUAUUGAGAGAGUAUUUGAUCUAUUAGGGAUUUACACCCUCUCCAAUCCCUUCAAAACACUCUAAUCCCAAAGUAUCCAAACUAGCCCCUAGGAGUUUUUUCGACUUGUGAAACUAGGGGAAAUACCGAUACAAGUUAGGGAAUACCAAAAACAGCCCCUACUGGUGACGAAGCAUUGGAGGGAGGCGAUCUAGGUACAAGCAGGACAGGGUAUCACAAAUUCAGGGCUAUACA